AUCACCUAUUUGCUUCAAGCCCAAAUGUCCAAACCCCUGCUUAAGGCUGAACACUCAACCCCCCACUCAGGGUUGAACACUUAACCCCCCUUGGGCCAACAAGGCAGCUUGUAGAUCCAGAGACCCCAUUAGAUUUGGGCUAUAAAAACUCCCUGUGCCUGUUCCUUCCCCCUAUCAUAAAGUUCAUUCAGACUCAGGUGGGUAAAAUUUCUAAUUAAGCUUUUAACCAGAUUCUCCUCAGGAUUACCAACUCCUGGCUACUGAAGAUACCUCCAGUCGAGACCUAUGCCAAAUGGACUGAUGUCAUCAUGGAUCUGUGGUAGCAAAGAACCUUCAUUGAUACCGGUCUUCUCUGCCCUCCUGUGGGGGCUCCUUACUUCUCUCCUCUUUCUGCCACACUGCCCCAUUUCAGCAGGAAGCAGCCAGAAUGAGUCGAUGCCCAUUCUCAUUUAAUAACAAAGAGGGGGGAAUGCUGGGAGUCGCCCUGGCUCCAAAGACUAACUUCCCCAUCCCCCAAGAAGAGCCAUCCAAUGGUGAGCCCUGAUGGCUCACAUGAUCCUUUCCCACCAAUCAGAGCCCUGCUGGCUCACAUGAUCCUACCCACCAAUCAGACUAGCCCUGCUGGCUUACCUGAUCCUUACCCUCCAAUCAAAAAGCAUCCCAUGCCAACUGACAAACCACC
Molecule: long non-coding RNA, 682 nt
Filed under: Marmota monax (woodchuck)
Lineage: Eukaryota; Metazoa; Chordata; Mammalia; Rodentia; Sciuridae
Source: RNAcentral